RNAcentral lists this ribosomal RNA (612 nucleotides) under uncultured bacterium. Its description in RNAcentral is "bacterial SSU rRNA". It matches the Rfam family "Bacterial small subunit ribosomal RNA", at positions 338 to 948 of the family's 1533-position model. The record is from RNAcentral.
CCUACGGGAGGCAGCAGUAAGGAAUAUUGGUCAAUGGAGGCAACUCUGAACCAGCCAUGCCGCGUGCAGGAAGAAGGCCCUAUGGGUCGUAAACUGCUUUUGUACCAGAGAAAACCCGAGUACGUGUACUCGGUUGAUAGUAUGGUAAGAAUAAGCAUCGGCUAACUUCGUGCCAGCAGCCGCGGUAAGACGAAGGAUGCAAGCGUUAUCCGGAUUCAUUGGGUUUAAAGGGUGCGUAGGCGGACUGAUAAGUCAGUGGUGAAAUCUCUCGGCUUAACCGAGAAACUGCCAUUGAUACUGUUAGUCUAGAGUAUAGAUGACGUUGGCGGAAUAUGACAUGUAGUGGUGAAAUACUUAGAUAUGUCAUAGAACACCGAUUGCGAAGGCAGCUAACGAAACUAUAACUGACGCUGAGGCGCGAAAGUGCGGGGAUCAAACAGGAUUAGAUACCCUGGUAGUCCGCACCGUAAACGAUGAUUACUCGUUGUUGGCAAUAUGACCGUCAGCGACCAAGCGAAAGCGAUAAGUAAUCCACCUGGGGAGUACGCCGGCAACGGUGAACGUUAAAUGAAUUGACCGGNNGAGAGNGCGAGACGACGACGAGGGAGGAGG